GGGUUGACUCGGCGAGUAGAGUCACUCAGGGGUUGACGUUGACUUGCCUUGACCAUGAGUAACCAGUUGUCUUCCAGGGGUAUUUUGAUAAUUCUUGGUUAUUUUUUUGAGUUCAGUGUUUCGGUGGUUGGCGGGUGGUGGAAAUCUUAUCAGUGGUCGGAGCAGCUUGGGUUUAUCUGUUUAGUCGGCAGUUGCAAGGUGAGUUAUCCUCAUUAUAUCAACAGGGUCUAAGGCACCAAGGCCGUCCCUUAAUCGGAUUGAGAUCCGGGUAUUUGUUGUUAUGUUAUUGGUGUGAUAUGUUUGCAUCCUGGUAAUUAGGAUGGUACGUGUUAGAGACCUGGUUGAGGUCGGUAUCAUGUUAUGUAGAGUGAUGCUAUGCUAGUGCCCGGUUAGGUCGGUAUCCUGGUUAGGAUGAUGAGAUGCUAUGUGAUCUGUCUGAUCGGUUUGUUGACUGUGGAUUAUUAUAUGAUUGUAUGUUUAUGUGCACAUGGUUGUUUUUACUGGAGUUGGGUUGAGGCGGGUCCUGCUUUGUGCUGUAGGCCAAGAUACCCAGGGCGAACCGGUUGUCCCGAAGGCCCAGCGAGCGGUCCGGAUAGGCUGUAGGCCCCAAGAGGGCGGACUAGACGUGCCGAGGCUCGGAGAGUGGACCAGACCGACUGAAGGCCCGGUGCGGGCGGACCAGUCAUACUGUAGACUCAGAGAGUGGACCAGGUAGAUUGAAGGCCCGGUGCGGGCGGACCAAUCACACUGCAGACUCGAUGUAUAUGGCUAGACUCGGAGGGUGGACCGGGUGGACUGUUGGCCGGUGCGGUGGACCAGUCACACAGUAGACCCGAAGUGCAUGGGUGUUCUGUGAUCGGAUAUGUUAUGGCAUGUCAUGCGUGUAUGGUAUAUGUGGUUGGUAUUUUGGGGAUAUCUCACUAAGCUUUCGGGCUUACAGUUGUGGUUUAAUGUUUUUCAGGUUCUUCAGGAGACCGUGGCAAUGUGAAGGCGUGAUCGUACCGCUCCUUAUGUUUUUGUCGUGAUGUGAUUCUGGGAAUAUUUUAAAUAAAUUGUAUUGAAAACCUUUUUGUAAUAAUUUAAUGACAUCGGGUUGUUUUUGAAAAGUUUAAAUUGGUUGGAAUUUUUUGGUUGUUACAAGUUGGUAUCAGAGCCUUGGUUUGAGUGAAUUGGAGGAACCACUCGUGUGACUCCAGUCUCAAAUCGAGGAGAGUUUUCAAAAGAGAAUUUAAAAUGGUUUUCAAAAUGAGUAAAGGAGGACGCGGAGGUACGAUCAGCCGGAGCUAGUAAGUGACCCCAAAAUACCAUACAUGAUAUUUGUUUUUGAGCUUUGUUAGAACAGCAUGCUAGUGCUAGGCUAGGGAUCUUCAGGAUUUCAUGGUAAUGUUGCCUGAUGAUGCCUGUAGCCUAGGGUUUUCUUGUGGGAGAUUUCCAGUGUUCCUCUAGUGGUGAGGGUUGAGCGCUUGUUUGUAUGUUUUCUCUAGGGCGUUGUGGUAGUACUUCAUACAAAUAUGGGUUGGUGUGGAAGGUAGUAUGGGCCCGUACUACUGAAUGCACAGGACCCAUACGCGUAUCAGGGAAACCAUGACCUCUAGGGCUGGGUUGAGGGUUGGUUCCCGGGUUGUGGGAAGUGUCUGAGAUUUUGUGGUGUUUUUCAGUAUGGAGAUUCCGAGGCAUGUUGGGAGUGGAUCCAGGUCAGGAUCGGGAGCAGGAGAGGGAGUCCAGGGCGGGUCUGUGCCGCCCGGGGUUGUUGGUCAGAUGAGCUCGUGCGAGUUGGAUGCGAGGAUUCGUGAGAUCCUGCAUGACCAGGUUGCUGCAUUGUUCCGGGCUGAGUUGCCGGAACUGUUUAGGUCGAUCAAGACCGCCAUGGUUAAGUAUUUUGAUGAGCACUAUGCGGCUCUCACAGAGACAGCUGCCGCGGUAGCUACAGCGGCUAUAGCAGCAGCAGCAGGAGGAGUUGGUCGGGGUUUUCAGUAUCGGGACUUCGAUAAUACGAAGCCUCCCACCUUUGAUGGAGUUCAGGACCCGAUUGUUGCUAUGAGAUGGUUAUCGGACGUGGAGGGGUGUUUCUUCACGUGUUCAUGCCCUGCUGAUCAGAGGGUGAGGUGUGCUCUGAACCUGUUGAGGCUUGGGGUGAAGGAUUGGUGGAGAUUGACCACGGGGUCAUACUCGGAUGUGCAAAGGGCUGCGAUUUCAUGGGAUCAGUUCAGAGAGAUGUUCAGCACUCUUUAUGUCCUGCAGGUUGAGAGGGAGAGAUUGGCUCAGGAGUUCCUUGAGCUGAAGCAGGAUUCGGAAUCGGUGACUGAGAUCACCAGGAUGUUCACUGAGAGGGAGAUGUUUUGCCCUGAGUUCGCUUCGGAGCAGGCUCAGAUGUCCCGAUAUCUGAGUAUGCUCAAGAGGGAUAUCAGACAGUUUGUGUCUACGCAGAGGUGCGAGACUUUGUUGGAGUUGCAGGAGGCCGCCAGGCGGCGUGAGUUAGAGAUUGAGUUGCAGUUGCGUGAGCUGAGGCAGGCUCCGGUGCAGUCGCAGCCGGCGCCGAAACGGUCCAAGACCGUUGAUUCUAGAGUGGGGGAUCUGAGCAGCCACACUUGUGGGAAGUGUGGGAGGAGUCACACCGGAGUUUGUAGGUCCGGUGGUGCAUGCCGCAAGUGCGGAAAGGAGGGGCACUAUGCGAGGGAUUGUAGGCAGUCAGCGCCGGUUCGGGAUUUGAGGAUUUGUUAUCAUUGUCAUCAGGUUGGACAUUUGAGGGUCAACUGUCCACAGCUUGCUGCAGGACCGGUGCAGGCUCCAGUACCGGCCACUUUGAGGAUCACAGGUGGAGGUCAGGGUGGAGUGGAGCCCCCAAGGGCUCAGGGUCGUGCUUUUCAGCUUGCAGCAGAGGAGGUCAGGGCAGUGCCGAAGGCAGCUGCAGGUAUGUUUCUUUCUUGAUAUCUUGUUUUUUUUAUGAUUAUUGUGGAAUAUUGUUAUCUGCUAGUCUCAUGUGUGGUUUUCGGUAUUAUAUUCGUUGAUUUUGAGGGUUAUGGUAUGGUUAUGGGUUUAGUGUUGGGAAUUUCGUUGGUUUUCAUUCAUGAAGGUUAUUAGUGGAAAUCUGGCAUUGGUUUGAAUGUCGGGUAGCAUCUGCAGUCUGAGGAGUGGUUAGCUGAAGAUCGUUUCUUUUGAGCCGGGAUGAUCAAUGUUGAUAUGUGAUUUCGUGAAGGUUGCUCGUUCUAGUGGGAAUCAGUUCGCGUGUAAGUGUUGGUUUUGUGCAGGGUUGUUCUGGGAGGUCGGUGAUAGCGGUCGGUGGUUGAUAGCCAGUGCCCUAAGUGGGGGAGAAUUGGAAAAUUCUAUGGAUGAUCGUUGAGUAUGUGAGAUUGUUGAGCUGUCUGGAAUUCAGCAGUGAUCUGUCAGCCUAGAGUGUAGGCUGGUAUGAGUAAGUGUCGGGCAUGCGGGGCGGGGUGCAGACCUAGGGCAUUUGAUUGUGGAGGGCCUGGGAUCAGGUCGGGAUCGAUUAUGUGUGAUGGAGAUAGAGUUCGGAACCCCUAGGGGGCUAGAACAGUAUGCAUGGGAGGAUUUCCUGGAGAGAUGACUCGGAUGAGGAAUGCUAGUUGAGCGGUCCGGAUAGACUGAAGGCCAGUAGGCGUACCAGUCAGGCCGAAGGAUCGGAGAACGGUUCAGCUAGACUGAAGGCCCUGGAGGGCGGUCCAGAUUGGCUGAAGGUUCUGAGAGUGGUCCAGAUUGGCUGAAGGCCUGGUAAGGCGGUCCAGCCAUGCUGAAGACUCUGCGGGUAUUGUUAGAUCAGUGCGAGGAAAUGGUUUGAGUAUGUUGCGUUGUGUUAGCAUUAGAAGGUAUGGCCCCGGGUAUUGAUCUUGAUUAGUGGAGAUAGUGCAUGGGCUUGAGAGUCCCUGCGAUCAGAGUCAGAGCAUGUGUGUUUGAUGGAUAGCGGUUACGCUAUGAAGGAGUGGUGUAGCAUUGGGCAAGCGUUGUGGCACUUGUGGUAGUGUCAAGGCAGCCAAGUGGUUUUCCUUGGUAAGGAUAGGGAAGAAUGUAGCUCCGAGAGGGAGCGUAAGUUCAUGGAAGUGAAAGCAGCAGUGCAGAGUUAUGGUUGUAGUAAUCCAAGUAUGGUCAUUGAGCAGCGUGUUUGCGGUAGUGGUAUAGAAUCCCAACCGGAUUGGAUGUCUGUUGAGGUAACGGAAGGAAUUCCGAGGGUGUAAAGCCAAGAGGCUCGGAAGGGAUGCAGGGAUAGAGUCUUGGAUUCCCAACGAUCUUGAUCAAGGAAUGGAGUAUGUAGGGGUAAUUCAUCCUGGGGGAUGUUUGGGGGUAUCGUCAGUGUGAUGGGUUUUUCCAACCCGAGGGUGUUAGAGCUAGUUCAGCAUGUGUAUGUGAUUGCAAGAGGAGAACUCAUGGGAGUUGCUCUGAAGAAUGUAUCAUUUUAUCGGCAUGGGAUGAAUAGAGUCGGACUCGGAUCGGGAAUCCGGUGGUUCGUGGUUAUUUCUAGCUCAUAUGGGUCGAGCAAUUGUUGUAAUUUGGAGCAGUGAUGCAUCAUGGGUAGUACUCAGUUGUUAAGUGGGGUUAUCAGAGAGUAAAGUCGGUGGUCGGCUUGAGACGGUGGUCAGGACACCGUAAGAAAGGAAAAGGUGGGUUCGAGUUUCGAAGGUUGUGCCUUGAGGAACCUGGUUUGGUUAAUGCUAGGUGGCGCGUUGCGGGAGUAUUUCUAGAGUUGAGUUGCCGCAGGCUUCGAGGACGAAGCCUAAUCUAAGCGGGGGAGAAUUGUAACAUCCCAGAAUAUCAAGAGUAAAGUUGAAGGGCUAAAAGAGUAAUUUGGAAGGGGAACUCGGCGAGUCCAUGGGUGGACUCGACGAGUAGGGUCGCGACUUGGUCGCGUGUUAAGUGGCCGACUCGGCGAGUCUGCGGAUGGACUCGGCGAGUAGGCGCUGAGUGGAGAAAACCCUAAAUCCGGAGGAUGAGCCCUAUAUAAAGAACAUAACAUCCUUUCCCCCAGCCUCUCUAUUCUCUCUUAAGUCCAGAAACCCUAGUUGUCGUGUGUGAGAGGAUCAAAGUGCAUUUGGAGGCUUGGAGAGGUGGUUGUUGAAGAAAUCUUGAAGGAGAGAGGCUUGGAUCAAAGGGCUUUGCAAGGAAUCGAGUUAAUCUUCUCUUGGAGCUUCCUUUUGAGGUAUUAUUUCAUUGUUUGAGCUGCUAUUAUCUUGAUUCAUCAUUUUUGGAGGUGUUAGAGAUCUUAUCCUUUGGUGUAUUGGAGUUUAGAGGUUAGAUCUGAGGUUGCUACCUCAGAUCUGGAAUGGAGAAGGGUUAGAACGCAUAAGAGUCCCCGUUUGUGAGUGAUUGAAGGAUCUAUCUUGUCCUAAACCCAAACCCUAGAGUGAAAAGGCCUAGAUCUCUUUGGAUUCACGUAAAGUUUUCCACUUUACGUGAUGGGUGGCCUUAGGAGGGGUAGAUCUAUGGUUUGGAUCAUCUGCAUGGCUUGGGAAGCCUCUGUAUGGAUUCAGACCCGGUGGUACUCGGCGAGUCACAUGGGUGGACUCGGCGAGUUGCUUGAAGAUAAGUUGGGACUCGGCGAGUUGGAAGAACAACUCGGCGAGUUGGAUGAUGAUGGUCUGGAACUCGGUGAGUCGGAAGAACAACUCGGUGAGUAGGUUGAAGAUAGCCUUAGACUCGACGAGUCUGUUCUUGGACUCGGCGAGUCUUGACGAAGAGUCCCAAUCCUUUCUGGUUGAUCCAUGAAUCGGUGAGUCAUGGGGUGACUCGGUGAGUGGUGUGUGAGUGGACUCAGAGUUGUUGGACUCGGCGAGUGUCGGGGUGACUUGGCGAGUUGAGUCGCGGAUUGAGGAGGUUCUGUGUAUGAGGACUCGGCGAGUCAUCGGGUUGACUCGGCAAGUAGAGUCACUCAGGGGUUGACGUUGACUUGCCUUGACCAAGAGUAACCAGUUGUCUUCCAGGGGUAUUUUGGUAAUUCUUGGUUAUUGUUUUGAGUUCAGUGUUUUGGUGGUUGGCGGGUGGUGGAAAUCUUAUCAGUGGUCGGAGCAGCUUGGGUUUAUCUGUUUAGUCGGCAGUUGCAAGGUGAGUUAUCCUCAUUAUAUCAACAGGGUCUAAGGCACCAAGGCCGGCCCUUUAUCGGAUUGAGAUCCGGGUAUUUGUUGUUAUGUUAUUGGUGUGAUAUGUUUGCAUCCUGGUAAUUAGGAUGGUACGUGUUAGAGACCUGGUUGAGGUCGGUAUCAUGUUAUGUAGAGUGAUGCUAUGCUAGUGCCCGGUUAGGUCGGUAUCCUGGUUAGGAUGAUGAGAUGCUAUGUGAUCUGUCUGAUCGGUUUGUUGACUGUGGAUUAUUAUAUGAUUGUAUGUUUAUGUGCACAUGGUUGUUUUUACUGGAGUUGGGUUGAGGCGGGUCCUGCUUUGUGCUGUAGGCCAAGAUACCCAGGGCAGACCGGUUGUCCCGAAGGCCCAGCAAGCGGUCCGGAUAGGCUGUAGGCCCCAAGAGGGCGGACUAGACGUGCCGAGGCUCGGAGAGUGGACCAGACCGACUGAAGGCCCGGUGCGGGCGGACCAGUCAUACUGUAGACUCAGAGAGUGGACCAGGUAGAUUGAAGGCCCGGUGCGGGCGGACCAAUCACACUGCAGACUCGAUGUAUAUGGCUAGACUCGAAGGGUGGACCGGGUGGACUGUUGGCCGGUGCGGCGGACCAGUCACACAGUAGACCCGAAGUGCAU
Molecule: long non-coding RNA, 6696 nt
Filed under: Lactuca sativa (garden lettuce)
Lineage: Eukaryota; Viridiplantae; Streptophyta; Magnoliopsida; Asterales; Asteraceae
Description: long non-coding RNA (LSAT_LNC000377)
Source: RNAcentral